UGGGGAAUAUUGCACAAUGGGGGAAAGACCCUGAUGCAGCGACGCCGCGUGAGCGAUGAAGUAUUUCGGUAUGUAAACUUCUAUCAGCAGGGAAGAAAAUGACGGUACCUGACUAAGAAGCCCCGCUGAACUACGUGCCAGCCAGCCGCGGGUAAUACGUAGGGGCGAAGCGUUAUCCGGAUUUACUGGGUGUAAAGGGAGCGUAGACGGAGCAGCAAGUCUGAUGUGAAAGGCGGGGCGUCAACCCACUGGACUGCAUUGGAAACUGUUGAUCUUGAGUACCGGAGAGGUAAGCGGAAUUCCUAGUGUAGCGGUGAAAUGCGUAGAUAUUAGGAGGAACACCAGUGGCGAAGGCGGCUUACUGGACGGUAACUGACGUUGAGGCUCGAAAAGCGUGGGGAGCAAACAGGAUUAGAUACC
This 420-nucleotide ribosomal RNA is filed under the name uncultured bacterium. Its description in RNAcentral is "bacterial SSU rRNA". It matches the Rfam family "Bacterial small subunit ribosomal RNA", at positions 355 to 786 of the family's 1533-position model. The record is from RNAcentral.